Molecule: ribosomal RNA, 379 nt
Filed under: uncultured eukaryote
Lineage: Eukaryota
Description: partial 18S ribosomal RNA
Rfam family: Eukaryotic small subunit ribosomal RNA
Source: RNAcentral
CAAUAGCGUAUAUUUAAGUUGUUGCAGUUAAAAAGCUCGUAGUUGGAUUUCGGAUGGGACUUGCCGGUCCGUCGUUUCGAUGUGCACUGGCCAGUCCUAUCUUGUUGUCGGGGACUAGCUCCUGGGCUUCACUGUCCGGGACUAGGAGCUGACGAGGUUACUUUGAGGAAAUUAGAGUGUUCAAAGCAAGCCUACGCUCUGAAUACAUUAGCAUGGAAUAACACGAUAGGACUCUGGCUUAUCUUGUUGGUCUGUGAGACCAGAGUAAUGAUUAAGAGGGACAGUCGGGGGCAUUCGUAUUUCAUUGUCAGAGGUGAAAUUCUUGGAUUUAUGAAAGACGAACUUCUGCGAAAGCAUUUGUCAAGGAUGUUUUCAUUAA